AACAUAUGCAGUUUCAGGUAUAUUAUUCCACUACAGUCACAGAAGUUAUCGUCUCUUUUGUUCAUAGCUAAUAGACUUCUCAAAAUUCUAUAGUGAUU
RNAcentral lists this small RNA (98 nucleotides) under Arabidopsis thaliana (thale cress). RNAcentral's name for it is "ATSL025140". The record is from RNAcentral. Lineage: Eukaryota; Viridiplantae; Streptophyta; Magnoliopsida; Brassicales; Brassicaceae.